Molecule: ribosomal RNA, 252 nt
Filed under: uncultured prokaryote
Description: partial 16S rRNA
Rfam family: Bacterial small subunit ribosomal RNA
Source: RNAcentral
ACGGAGGUGGCAAGCGUUAUUCGGAUUCAUUGGGCGUAAAGGGCGUGUAGGCGGUUUGGUAAGUCUGAUGUGAAAUCUCCAUCGCUUAACGAGGAGACUGCAUCGGAUACUGCCAAUCUUGAGUGCAAGAAAGGUGAGUGGAAUUCCAGGUGUAGCGGUGGAAUGCGUAGAUAUCUGGAGGAACACCGGUGGCGAAAGCGGCUCACUGGCUUGUAACUGACGCUGAGGCGCGAAAGCGUGGGGAUCAAACAG